RNAcentral lists this ribosomal RNA (470 nucleotides) under uncultured Geobacillus sp. Its description in RNAcentral is "bacterial SSU rRNA". It matches the Rfam family "Bacterial small subunit ribosomal RNA", at positions 917 to 1381 of the family's 1533-position model. The record is from RNAcentral. Lineage: Bacteria; Bacillati; Bacillota; Bacilli; Caryophanales; Anoxybacillaceae.
ACGGGGCCGCACAAGCGGUGGAGCAUGUGGUUUAAUUCGAAGCAACGCGAAGAACCUUACCAGGUCUUGACAUCCCUGACAACCCAAGAGAUUGGGCGUUCCCCUUCGGGGGACAGGGUGACAGGUGGUGCAUGGUUGUCGUCAGCUCGUGUCGUGAGAUGUUGGGUUAAGUCCCGCAACGAGCGCAACCCUCGCCUCUAGUUGCCAGCAUUCGGUUGGGCACUCUAGAGGGACUGCCGGCGACAAGUCGGAGGAAGGUGGGGAUGACGUCAAAUCAUCAUGCCCCUUAUGACCUGGGCUACACACGUGCUACAAUGGGCGGUACAAAGGGUCGCGAACCCGCGAGGGGGAGCCAAUCCCAAAAAGCCGCUCUCAGUUCGGAUUGCAGGCUGCAACUCGCCUGCAUGAAGUCGGAGUUGCUAGUAAACGCGCAUCAGCCAUGGCCGCGUUCCGAAUACGUUCCGGGCCUU